Molecule: ribosomal RNA, 690 nt
Filed under: uncultured bacterium
Lineage: Bacteria
Description: bacterial SSU rRNA
Rfam family: Bacterial small subunit ribosomal RNA
Source: RNAcentral
AUCAACGCUGGCGGCGCGCCUAACACAUGCAAGUCGAACGAGAAAGUGGAGCAAUCCAUGAGUAAAGUGGCGUACGGGUGAGUAACACGUGGGUAAUCUACCUUUUAGUGAGGAAUAACUUUGGGAAACCGAAGCUAAUACCGCAUAAGCCUGAGAAGGGAAAGCAGCAAUGCGCUGAAAGAGGAGCCCGCGGCCGAUUAGCUAGUUGGUGAGGUAACGGCCCACCAAGGCUGAGAUCGGUAGCCGGCCUGAGAGGGCACACGGCCACACUGGCACUGAAACACGGGCCAGACUCCUACGGGAGGCAGCAGUGGGGAAUCUUGCACAAUGGGGGAAACCCUGAUGCAGCGACGCCGCGUGAGCGAUGAAGCCCUUCGGGGUGUAAAGCUCUUUCGGCAGGGAAGAUUAUGACGGUACCUGCAGAAGCAGCUGCGGCUAACUACGUGCCAGCAGCCGCGGUAAUACGUAGGCAGCGAGCGUUGUUCGGAGUUACUGGGCGUAAAGGGUGUGUAGGCGGCUCUCUAAGUUUGGUGUGAAAUCUCCCGGCUCAACCGGGAGGGUGCGCCGAAUACUGAAGGGCUAGAGUGCGGGAGAGGAAAGUGGAAUUCCUGGUGUAGCGGUGAAAUGCGUAGAUAUCAGGAGGAACACCGGUGGUGUAGACGGCUUUCUGGACCGUAACUGACGCUGAAA